AACGAACGCUGGCGGCAUGCCUAACACAUGCAAGUCGAACGAGACCUUCGGGUCUAGUGGCGCCCGGGUGUGUAACGCGUGGGAACCUUCCCUUAGGUUCGGACUAACUCUCCGACAGGGGUGCUAAUACCGGAUCAUGUCUUCGGCCCAAAGAUUUAUCGCGUUUGGUUGGACCAGCGUUGGAUUCGCUGGUUAGUAGGGUAAAAGCUUACCACGGCGACGAUCCAUAGCUGGUAUGUGAGGAUGAUCAGCCACACUGGGACUGGGACGCGGCCCGGACUCCUACGGGAUGCAGCAGUGGCGGAUAGUGCAAAAUGGGGGAAAGCCUGAUCGAGCUAGGCUGGUAGAGUGAUGUAGUCCGGAGGGUUGUAAAGCUCUUGUACCCGGGCUGAUAUUGACGGUACCGGGAGAAUAAGCUCCGGCUAACUCCGUG
This 433-nucleotide ribosomal RNA is filed under the name uncultured bacterium. RNAcentral's name for it is "partial 16S ribosomal RNA". It matches the Rfam family "Bacterial small subunit ribosomal RNA", at positions 29 to 507 of the family's 1533-position model. The record is from RNAcentral.